This 250-nucleotide unclassified non-coding RNA is filed under the name plant metagenome. RNAcentral's name for it is "partial contains small subunit ribosomal RNA, internal transcribed spacer 1, and 5.8S ribosomal RNA". The record is from RNAcentral.
GUAGGUGAACCUGCGGAGGGAUCAUUACCGAGUGAGGGCCUCCGGGUCCGACCUCCAACCCCAUGUUAACCGACCCUGUUGCCUCGGGGGCGACCCGCCGUGCCUUCGGGCGCCGGGGCCCCCGAUGGACCACAUAACACUGCAUCUUUGCGUCCGAGUCAAUAUUUGAAUUAAUCAAAACUUUCAACAACGGAUCUCUUGGUUCUGGCAUCGAUGAAGAACGCAGCAUCUGACUGACUCAGGUCUGUAU